Molecule: non-coding RNA, 578 nt
Organism: Pelobates cultripes (western spadefoot toad)
Lineage: Eukaryota; Metazoa; Chordata; Amphibia; Anura; Pelobatidae
Source: the annotation of a GenBank genome assembly
UGCGCUGAAAGUGGUUCUGUUUCUCUGCCAAAAAUAAAUACAUUUACAAAAAAAAAGUGAAACUUCUAGUUUGACUGAAACAGCCAUGUGAUCAUCAAGUUGCAUAACGGAAAAGCACACCUAAAGCUAUUCGCCAGGUAACAGUCAAACCAAUUUUGAAGUGUUUCACACUUACUUGGAACGCAAAUGUCUUCAUAGAGAUAUCAAUUUUGUCCCUAUUUGCAAAUCACUGGAAUAUAGUUUCUGGAUUUUUUACUAAAGUGAGAAUUGUUAGGAAUUCAAAGUUUCAAGUGAAUAUCAUAUUAAGAAGGGGAAAAAAAGGUAAAAAUAGCCUAACUUAAAAAAUUACCCAAGUCAACUAUUCCUCCAGUUCAGCUACUUUGGCCUUAAAGGGACACUUUAGGAUCCUAGACCACUUCAUCUCACUGAAGUGGUCUGGGUGCAGUGUCCCUGUUUCCUUAACCCCACAAUCUAAAACAAGCAUGUCAAACUCAAAGUCUAGCAUGGGCCAAAUAAACAAGGUUUAAGUUUAUGUGGGCCACAAAAAAAAAAAAAAACACCUACAUUUUCAUAGAAAC